RNAcentral lists this ribosomal RNA (1530 nucleotides) under Salmonella enterica. Its description in RNAcentral is "bacterial SSU rRNA". It matches the Rfam family "Bacterial small subunit ribosomal RNA". RNAcentral also lists the same sequence under 1 other name. Lineage: Bacteria; Pseudomonadati; Pseudomonadota; Gammaproteobacteria; Enterobacterales; Enterobacteriaceae. The record is from RNAcentral.
AGAGUUUGAUCAUGGCUCAGAUUGAACGCUGGCGGCAGGCCUAACACAUGCAAGUCGAACGGUAACAGGAAGCAGCUUGCUGCUUUGCUGACGAGUGGCGGACGGGUGAGUAAUGUCUGGGAAACUGCCUGAUGGAGGGGGAUAACUACUGGAAACGGUGGCUAAUACCGCAUAACGUCGCAAGACCAAAGAGGGGGACCUUCGGGCCUCUUGCCAUCAGAUGUGCCCAGAUGGGAUUAGCUUGUUGGUGAGGUAACGGCUCACCAAGGCGACGAUCCCUAGCUGGUCUGAGAGGAUGACCAGCCACACUGGAACUGAGACACGGUCCAGACUCCUACGGGAGGCAGCAGUGGGGAAUAUUGCACAAUGGGCGCAAGCCUGAUGCAGCCAUGCCGCGUGUAUGAAGAAGGCCUUCGGGUUGUAAAGUACUUUCAGCGGGGAGGAAGGUGUUGUGGUUAAUAACCACAGCAAUUGACGUUACCCGCAGAAGAAGCACCGGCUAACUCCGUGCCAGCAGCCGCGGUAAUACGGAGGGUGCAAGCGUUAAUCGGAAUUACUGGGCGUAAAGCGCACGCAGGCGGUCUGUCAAGUCGGAUGUGAAAUCCCCGGGCUCAACCUGGGAACUGCAUUCGAAACUGGCAGGCUUGAGUCUUGUAGAGGGGGGUAGAAUUCCAGGUGUAGCGGUGAAAUGCGUAGAGAUCUGGAGGAAUACCGGUGGCGAAGGCGGCCCCCUGGACAAAGACUGACGCUCAGGUGCGAAAGCGUGGGGAGCAAACAGGAUUAGAUACCCUGGUAGUCCACGCCGUAAACGAUGUCUACUUGGAGGUUGUGCCCUUGAGGCGUGGCUUCCGGAGCUAACGCGUUAAGUAGACCGCCUGGGGAGUACGGCCGCAAGGUUAAAACUCAAAUGAAUUGACGGGGGCCCGCACAAGCGGUGGAGCAUGUGGUUUAAUUCGAUGCAACGCGAAGAACCUUACCUGGUCUUGACAUCCACAGAACUUUCCAGAGAUGGAUUGGUGCCUUCGGGAACUGUGAGACAGGUGCUGCAUGGCUGUCGUCAGCUCGUGUUGUGAAAUGUUGGGUUAAGUCCCGCAACGAGCGCAACCCUUAUCCUUUGUUGCCAGCGGUCCGGCCGGGAACUCAAAGGAGACUGCCAGUGAUAAACUGGAGGAAGGUGGGGAUGACGUCAAGUCAUCAUGGCCCUUACGACCAGGGCUACACACGUGCUACAAUGGCGCAUACAAAGAGAAGCGACCUCGCGAGAGCAAGCGGACCUCAUAAAGUGCGUCGUAGUCCGGAUUGGAGUCUGCAACUCGACUCCAUGAAGUCGGAAUCGCUAGUAAUCGUGGAUCAGAAUGCCACGGUGAAUACGUUCCCGGGCCUUGUACACACCGCCCGUCACACCAUGGGAGUGGGUUGCAAAAGAAGUAGGUAGCUUAACCUUCGGGAGGGCGCUUACCACUUUGUGAUUCAUGACUGGGGUGAAGUCGUAACAAGGUAACCGUAGGGGAACCUGCGGUUGGAUCACCU